CUUGGUCAUUUAGAGGAAGUAAAAGUCGUAACAAGGUUUCCGUAGGUGAACCUGCGGAAGGAUCAUUACAGAGUUCAUGCCCUUCGGGGUAGACCUCCCACCCUGUUUAAUUACUAUUGUUGCUUUGGCAGGCUGCCCUCACCAUGGGGCGUCCGGGUUCCGCCCGCGUCUUGCCUGCCAGAAGCCCCCUAAUUCUGUGUUCUGUGUCGUCUGAGUACUAUAUAACAAGUUAAAACUUUCAACAACGGAUCUCUUGGCUCUCGCAUCGAUGAAGAACGCAGCGAAAUGCGAUACGUAAUGUGAAUUGCAGAAUUCAGUGAAUCAUCGAAUCUUUGAACGCACCUUGCGCCCCUUGGCAUUCCGAGGGGCACACCCGUUUGAGUGUCGUGAAAUCAUCAAAACCUUCUCUUUGACCCUCUUUGGUCGGGAAAAGGAUUUUUGGACUUGGAGGUUCCAUGCUCGCCUUCACUUUUGAAAGCGAGCUCCUCUCAAAUGAAUUAGUGGGGUCCGCUUUGCUGGUCCUUGACGUGAUAAGAUGUUUCUACGUUUUGGAUUUAGCACUGUCCCUUGGAUGCCUGCUCCUAACUGUCUCACGGACAAUGAUGGUGCUCUGGUCACUGCCAUCUACAUUGGCGGGAGGCUGGACCCACAAAAGAAAACCUUGACCUCAAAUCGGGUGAGACUACCCGCUGAACUUAAGCAUAUCAAUAAGCGGAGGA
This 719-nucleotide ribosomal RNA is filed under the name uncultured Russula. Its description in RNAcentral is "eukaryotic LSU rRNA". The stretch from base 234 to 387 matches the Rfam family "5.8S ribosomal RNA". Lineage: Eukaryota; Fungi; Basidiomycota; Agaricomycetes; Russulales; Russulaceae. The record is from RNAcentral.